UUUCCAGACUCCUACGGGAGGCAGCAGUGGGGGAUAUUGCACAAUGGGGGGAACCCUGAUGCAGCGACGCCGCGUGGGUGAAGGAGUGCUUCGGCAUGUAAAGCCCUAUCGGCAGGGAAGAAGCAAGACGGUACCUGACUAAGAAGCCCCGGCUAACUACGUGCCAGCAGCCGCGGUAAUACGUAGGGGGCGAGCGUUAUCCGGAUUCACCGGGUGUAAAGGGAGCGUAGACGGCGACGCAAGUCUGGAGUGAAAGCCCGGGGCCCAACCCCGGGACUGCUCUGGAAACUGCGUCGCUGGAGUACGGGAGGGGCAGGCGGAAUUCCUGGUGUAGCGGUGAAAUGCGUAGAUAUCAGGAGGAACACCGGCGGCGAAGGCGGCCUGCUGGACCGUGACUGACGUUGAGGCUCGAGAGCGUGGGGAGCAAACAGGAUUAGAUACCCUCGUA
RNAcentral lists this ribosomal RNA (448 nucleotides) under uncultured bacterium. RNAcentral's name for it is "bacterial SSU rRNA". It matches the Rfam family "Bacterial small subunit ribosomal RNA", at positions 328 to 792 of the family's 1533-position model. The record is from RNAcentral.